This 84-nucleotide transfer RNA is filed under the name Microcaldota archaeon. RNAcentral's name for it is "tRNA-Ser". It matches the Rfam family "tRNA". Rfam says of the family: Transfer RNA (tRNA) molecules are approximately 80 nucleotides in length. Their secondary structure includes four short double-helical elements and three loops (D, anti-codon, and T loops). Further hydrogen bonds mediate the characteristic L-shaped molecular structure. tRNAs have two regions of fundamental functional importance: the anti-codon, which is responsible for specific mRNA codon recognition, and the 3' end, to which the tRNAs corresponding amino acid is attached (by aminoacyl-tRNA synthetases). tRNAs cope with the degeneracy of the genetic code in two manners: having more than one tRNA (with a specific anti-codon) for a particular amino acid; and 'wobble' base-pairing, i.e. permitting non-standard base-pairing at the 3rd anti-codon position. The record is from RNAcentral. Lineage: Archaea; Nanobdellati; Microcaldota.
GCCGGGAUCGCAUAACCUGGUAGUGCGCACGCCUGGAAAGCGUGUGUCCGCAAGGGCUUGUGGGUUCAAAUCCCUCUCCCGGCG